Molecule: non-coding RNA, 111 nt
Organism: Acanthosepion pharaonis
Lineage: Eukaryota; Metazoa; Mollusca; Cephalopoda; Sepiida; Sepiidae
Source: the annotation of a GenBank genome assembly
ACGGACACAUCACGUUGAAACUCUGAUUCUCGUACGAUCACCGAAGUUAAGCAACGUCGAGCCAGGUCGAUACCUAGAUGGGUGACCGCUUGGGCAUACCAGCUGUUGUAA